CCAAUGCAAGUCGAGUGGGUUUAGACCCACGGCAAACGGCUGAGGAACACAUGGAUACCUGCCCCGAACUCAGGGAUAGCCCGCCGAAAGGCGGAGUAAUACCGGAUGGUCCCGCAAGGGUAAAGAUUUAUCGGUUCGGGAGGGGUCUGUGUCCUAUCAGGUAGUUGGUAAGGUAAUGGCUUACCAAGCCUAUGACGGGUAACUGGUCUGAGAGGACGGCCAGUCAGAAUGGAACUGAGACACGGUCCAU
RNAcentral lists this ribosomal RNA (250 nucleotides) under uncultured bacterium. RNAcentral's name for it is "partial 16S ribosomal RNA". It matches the Rfam family "Bacterial small subunit ribosomal RNA", at positions 55 to 334 of the family's 1533-position model. The record is from RNAcentral.